UCGUCGGUGGUUUAGUGGUUAGGACGCUCGCUGACCAUGCACAUGAUCCGGGGUUCGAUUCCCAGCCGACGAA
RNAcentral lists this transfer RNA (73 nucleotides) under Trichobilharzia regenti. It matches the Rfam family "tRNA". From Rfam's summary of the family: Transfer RNA (tRNA) molecules are approximately 80 nucleotides in length. Their secondary structure includes four short double-helical elements and three loops (D, anti-codon, and T loops). Further hydrogen bonds mediate the characteristic L-shaped molecular structure. tRNAs have two regions of fundamental functional importance: the anti-codon, which is responsible for specific mRNA codon recognition, and the 3' end, to which the tRNAs corresponding amino acid is attached (by aminoacyl-tRNA synthetases). tRNAs cope with the degeneracy of the genetic code in two manners: having more than one tRNA (with a specific anti-codon) for a particular amino acid; and 'wobble' base-pairing, i.e. permitting non-standard base-pairing at the 3rd anti-codon position. Lineage: Eukaryota; Metazoa; Platyhelminthes; Trematoda; Strigeidida; Schistosomatidae. The record is from Rfam by way of RNAcentral.